This 2784-nucleotide long non-coding RNA is filed under the name Heterocephalus glaber (naked mole-rat). RNAcentral's name for it is "lncRNA (ENSHGLG00000048914.1)". The record is from RNAcentral. Lineage: Eukaryota; Metazoa; Chordata; Mammalia; Rodentia; Bathyergidae.
UUAUUUUCUAUUUUAAAAUUUAUUUUAAGACAGGGUCACUCUAUGUUACUCCUGCUCAUCUCCAACUCCUGGGCUCAACUCUCCUCCUGCCUCAGCCUCCUAAGUGGCUGGGACUGAAGGUAUGAGCCACCACGCUGACUGGCUCUCUUGGGCUCUCUCUAAUGAGCUAGGAAGGGGCUUUGCAACUUCUGGAGACAAAAAGUCUUUUUAAAAACUUAAGCAGGUGUAGUGGUGCACAUCUGUAAUCCCAGUGCUUGGGAGGCUGAAGCAGGCAGAUUGCUGCAGUUUGAGGCCAGCCUGGACUACAUAGUGAGACUGAGUCUCACAAAACAAAAGAAGAAGGAGAAGGAAAAGGAGGAGGAGAAGGAGAAGAAGAGGUGGCAGCAGCAGCAGCAUGAUAUAUAGUCUUCAUAUGAAACCCAGUACAUACAAUGGAUAAAAGUGGCAUUCUGCCAGCACACUUUCAUUUUGUGUGCGCACGUUUUUAACACGCAUUGUAAGCUCACCAGGAGAUUGUUUUGUCUGAUGAAGCUUCGCAGCUGUAGACUGUGGGUGACAGUUGCUGGGUCCUCAGCCCUGGCGCUGGAUGAACUUCUGCUCUUUGCUUUGCCAUGCGGCCCGAAUGUCCUCGGAGGGACAGGCUCAGAACCCAGGUGGUGCGGACUCUGUUCUAGGCCUGCCCUAAACCGAGGCACGCACUCCAUGGUGCUGGUUCCCAAUGUGUGCAUAACAUAGGUAUUUUGAAGGGGCAUGCACGUUAUUCCUUGUUUUAAUAGAAGAGAAAUAUUUCAAGCCAAGAGCACAGGCUUAUCUGUAACGUGAGUCGCCUGGGGGAGCGCGUAGGCUGUGGACAGGACUCAGGCAGUGCUGUAGGGCUGGCUCCAGACCACACCUGGAAGUGUCCUUGGUGCCAGCGUGUCUCAGGGUAUAUCGGGCACUCUGAGGACACAGGGACAAAUAGACCCAGGCCAGCCCUGAUGGCUCUCUGCAGAAAUGGACGCUCCUAGGCCUUUCACCUGGGAGAGGAGCAGCUCACGGUGGUCCUCAAAUAGUAAUUUUCAUAGUGAUUUAGUAUAACUUGGUCUCAAAAAACAAAACAAAACAAAACACCCCCAAACCCCAAAUCAGACAGAACACCUAUUUUUCAACAUCUACUUUCCUCUGAGAUUUUUGGGCAGCAACUCCUUUGUGUAGCUCGGGUAAGAUUUGUUUCAAGGUUCUUCCGCAGCCCCACCCCCACCGGAAGCGUGAGACUGUGCAGUUGAGGACAGCUGCUGAAGAUUGAUGACCCCCCUCUCUCUUUGUAUUCCUUGGUUUCAGAUCCCAAGCUGCUGUUGCAAAGAGACAAGAAGCAGUCGGGUCAUGUGCUAGCAACAUCACACAACUGAGGGAAUUAAAAAAAAAAACAGACUUCUCUGGUAUUUGUUGGUGAAGGCUGAAGCAGUAGGAGUAGGCUCUGGGGAAGGUGAGGAAACUAAGGAGCUGUGAGUGAGGUGCCUGAGCCAGCUCCAGUUUCUCCCUUCCCAGUGUCCUGCCAGUGGAGGGGGCUGCGUGUGCUGUUCUAUCCAUCCUUGGCUUGGGGCUUAGCAGGCAGUUUCCUGUCUCUGAGCUGGUCACAGCUUUUGGAGAUACCUGGAGGUGUUAAUGACAUUGCCAAUGUUUCACAGAGGCUCCAGGACCCCUGAGCUGCCCAUGACGGACCGUGUGGGUCCACCAGGAACAGCUGCACGGGGACCGGAACCUCCACCCACUUGCCUUCCACAGCCUGUGCUUGUCUGCUUCCUACUCAAGGGACUUUGGUGGCUCUCUCUGAGCCCUGUGAGCCUCAGUGUUCCCAUCUGUAGAAUAACGACAGUGCCGUCCACCUCAGCGUGUCGUUGAAGCUGGCCCAUAGGAAGCUCUCGGGAAAAGGCAGCUACUAUUGUAAUGGUCUGGACUCACGGACAAUGAGGAUGUGCAUUAUCACUUAAGAAAAGUAGCCUGUGGUGAACAGAAGUCUUAAACUCAAAGCUUAGAAGGGUUGGUGAUGAUGAAGGACUGGGUCCCUUCAUCCCAGGUGACCAUGACAGUUUGGGUUUUCAGUGGCCGUGGAGUGGACAUCAGUGGAGGCUUAAAAUUGUUUGUUUUUUUUGUUUUGUUUUUGGUACCAGGGAUCAAACUUGGGACCUUGUGCUUUCGAGGCAGGCGGUGGAACCACUGAACUAAAUUCCCAGUCCAUACUUUUUUUUUGGGGGGCUUGAAAUUUAAUUGGGAAAUGUUGAUUUCAUUCUUUGGGGGAGAUUCUGCAUAUCUACUGCUGUCAUACAACUCAAGCCCAGGGUAUAGUGCAGGCCACAUGCACUGUAAUGACCUCCUUCAAAGCCACCUCUGUGUUCCCGAGAUUGAAACCCGUUGACUGAAAGACCAGAACAAUACCCUCUGUCAUUCAAUCAGGACAGCACUGUAUUGAUUCAGAAGUCACACACACACACACACACACACACACACACACGUGCGCGCGCGCGUGCGCACGCACACGCACACUCCCCGGAUGGUGAUACUGGGGAUCUGGCAAGAAUGGGGAGGUUUGGGGACAGUUCACCUGGGAAUGGGCCUUUUCCAUCACACCAGCCCCCAGGUGUGGGUGGAAGUAACUUGGGACCAGGAAGCCCAGCUAGGAUUUGGUUUAAGUCAUCUUAUUGCUACUCUUUGUUCUGGAAGCUCUUUCUGGGGAAUAUAUUGAAACAUGUGGCUUUUCUUUUUUUAAAAAAUAUACUGAAUAUCUUAAACUGCUCUUGAAAUAGU